GCCGUGCUCACCUGAGCCCUCUGCCGCUACUUGUCGAGAGGAAGAAGACACCGCGAGGAGAGACGGAGCAGCCCCGAUGAGACCUGCCUGUCAGUUUCUCACCGUUGACCAGCCCCGGGCCCGCGCCAAGUUAAGUGGAGACGUACUCCUCGUAGUACGGUUUCCCUUACCGAAAACGUCUUUUGGUCUUUUCUCCAAGUCAAAAUACGUUUUCUUCUCCGGAAAGUGUAUUUCCUUUGUACUACGGCUGAAAAUGCGUUUUCUCUGCUCUGAAGGCGUAUUCCACUAAAUGUGUUUUCUGUUUUUCAGUCAGGGGCCUGUUUGUGAAGUUUCUUUUACAGAUUGGUCCCUAGUGUUCAAACGUCUAUAGCUCCGCGACCGUGACUCCGAUUCAGGUGAAUCCAGAGCCCACGUUCUCGUCUUGUCGAGCCCUAUCUGUUGGUACCAUUUUCAUGAUGUUGUCACAUUCUAAAAAUGACCAUUAUGCCCUUGUCUUUAAUCAGCCCCCUUCGAGAGAGAAGUGUUUCCGACGAUUCUUUCCGCAGCUUCACCACACUUCUUCCCGGUGUACCCUUCCUCUUCAGGCAAGCCACGACAGCCACUUGCAUGAUGGCCAUGCAAUAGCCAUGGUUUUCAACUUGAAUAUUUAAAUAUUGUGUGCAUGUUAAUAUUCUUGUGAACACUUUAUAUGCUUGUGAAUUGGUACAUACUUUGAUACUCUGUCCAUGUGCAUAUUGCUAGUUAUUGUCAUGACCGGUUUUUCAAUAAAAUAAUUAUUGAGAGACCAAUCCCUUUUACGGACCAGUAAGGAAGAAUUCCUUCUCACUGGUAGACAAUAUCUUGGUCACAGAAGAAAAAUACCAGGAGUACUAAAUAUAAUACAAGGUUGAGCGGAGACUGCCCAACAAUUUAUUACAUGCACGCCGAUAAAACAAGACGGCGGAUAGGGUGGCAUACUACUAACUCACGAUAAUAACGGUGGUGGAAAUAUCACCGCAAAGCGAGUGAUAUGACUCCUGAAGACUACAGCUCUUCGAGCGUCGGAGUGAGGCUCGAGGAGACUUAUUGCGGGUGGCGGAAGCGUAUAUAAUACAAGUGACCAAUAUCCGGGAUCGCACAGGACUGACUGGGACUCCUCUAGGCGUCGGACGCGCUAUCAAUCUCUUCAUCCAAGAGAUCGCCUUCGUCAACAUCUGGCCAAAUCAACAAGCCAGGUGAGUACUAUGAAAGUACUCGCAAGACAGUUCGGACAUAAGAUAUAACAAAUGUAAACAUGAAGCAUAUGAACAAUUUAUCCAGUGCGUUCAGACAUAGAGAUAAUAAAUACUGGGUGCCAAGCGAGGGUCUGAAUGACGCCUCGAGCGGAAACUGCAGAAUAGUAAUACUGGUGCCAAACGAGUGUCUGAAAGACUCCUCGAGAGGAAACUGCGAGAAUAAUAAUACUGGUGCCAAACGAGUGUCCGAAUGACUCCUCGAGAGGAAAAUGCAAGAAUAAUAAUAAUGCCACAGUCGGACGUCUGAGCGACAUCACAUAAAGGGCUUAUAACAGAAAAUAAAAGACGAACAUGCCACAGUCGGACGUCUGAGCGACAUCACCUAAAGGGCUUAUAUUUAAUGUAAGAAACAAAA
This 1629-nucleotide long non-coding RNA is filed under the name Triticum aestivum (bread wheat). RNAcentral's name for it is "long non-coding RNA (TAES_LNC013485)". Lineage: Eukaryota; Viridiplantae; Streptophyta; Magnoliopsida; Poales; Poaceae. The record is from RNAcentral.